RNAcentral lists this ribosomal RNA (783 nucleotides) under Folsomides parvulus. RNAcentral's name for it is "partial 28S ribosomal RNA". It matches the Rfam family "Eukaryotic large subunit ribosomal RNA", at positions 34 to 631 of the family's 3401-position model. Lineage: Eukaryota; Metazoa; Arthropoda; Collembola; Entomobryomorpha; Isotomidae. The record is from RNAcentral.
UUAAGCAUAUUAAUAAGCGGAGGAAAAGAAACUAACAAGGAUUCCCUUAGUAACGGCGAGCGAAAAGGGAAGAGCCCAGCGCUGAAUCUUGUGCCCCCCCGGGUGCAAAGAAAUGUGGCGUUUGGGACGGGACAUUGCCCGUGCAUGAUGGUUAACUAAGUCCCUCUUGAACGGGGCCAUAGCCCAUGGAGGGUGCUAGGCCCGUAUGUUAACCUUGUUGUGCGGUGCGUCCUGUCCGUAGAGUCGGGUUGCUUGGGAGUGCAGCCCAAAUUCGGUGGUAAACUCCAUCUAAGGCUAAAUAUGACCACGAGACCGAUAGCGAACAAGUACCGUGAGGGAAAGUUGAAAAGAACUUUGAAGAGAGAGUUCAAUAGUACGUGAAACCUCUCGGGGGUAAGCGGGCAGAACUUGCAAGUUUUGUCGAGAGUAUUCAGGCUUAAUGUGUCGGCGACUGAGGGUGCUUUAUGAUGCUGUCCGUUCGCGGGUUGGCAAAUGUGUGCCCUUUGGCUUGCUGACGGUGCGCCGCAUUUACUCUCGUCAUCGGGUUGCAUGUGACUGAGUCGUGUAGUUUAGGUGCUGGGGAUCUGCGAAGCCUUGUUGUUUCGAGCCCCGGUCUCCAACUACUGCUGCGGUCAUUUUGUCACGAUGAGCAGGCGUUUAGUCGCGGUCAACACUCUGCACGAGUUGUGUGCGCAUGGCGUGUGGACGGGCAACCGUAGCACGUUGUGCGAGGCUGAUUGUCGGUGUGGGGUGUUUGGCUCUGCUCAGUUGAUAUUGCAAUCU